GACGAACGCUGGCGGCGUGCUUAACACAUGCAAGUCGAACGGAAAGGCCCUUUUGGCAGGAUACUAGUGGCGAAAAGGGGAGUAAAACGCGAGUAACCUGCGCUCUACACUUCGAUAUCAGCUGGAGACUCGGGAUAAUACCGCAGAUAAGUCCUUACUGCAGGGUGUGGGGUGGAAAGCUUUUUCGGUGUUGGAUGAGCUCGCGGCCUAUCAGCUUGUUGGUGGGGUAGUGGCCUACCAAGGCUUCGACGGGUAGCCGGCCUGAGAGGGUGAACGGCCACAUUGGGACUGAGAUACGGCCCAGACUCCUACGGGAGGCAGCAGUGGGGAAUAUUGCACAAUGGGCGCAAGCCUGAUGCAGCAACGCCGCGUGGGGGAUGAAGGCCUUCGGGUUGUAAACUGCUUUCAGCAGGGACGAAGCUUGUUGUGACGGUACCUAGAGAAGAAGCACCGGCUAACUACGUG
RNAcentral lists this ribosomal RNA (465 nucleotides) under uncultured bacterium. RNAcentral's name for it is "partial 16S ribosomal RNA". It matches the Rfam family "Bacterial small subunit ribosomal RNA", at positions 28 to 507 of the family's 1533-position model. The record is from RNAcentral.